This 426-nucleotide ribosomal RNA is filed under the name uncultured bacterium. RNAcentral describes it as "partial 16S ribosomal RNA". It matches the Rfam family "Bacterial small subunit ribosomal RNA", at positions 355 to 774 of the family's 1533-position model. The record is from RNAcentral.
UGGGGAAUAUUGCACAAUGGGCGCAAGCCUGAUGCAGCCAUGCCGCGUGUAUGAAGAAGGCCUUCGGGUUGUAAAGUACUUUCAGCGGGGAGGAAGGUGUUGAGGUUAAUAACCUCAGCAAUUGACGUUACCCGCAGAGAAGCACCGGCUAACUCCGUGCCAGCAGCCGCGGUAAUACGGAGGGUGCAAGCGUUAAUCGGAAUUACUGGGCGUAAAGCGCACGCAGGCGGUCUGUCAAGUCGGAUGUGAAAUCCCCGGGCUCAACCUGGGAACUGCAUUCGAAACUGGCAGGCUAGAGUCUUGUAGAGGGGGGUAGAAUUCCAGGUGUAGCGGUGAAAUGCGUAGAGAUCUGGAGGAAUACCGGUGGCGAAGGCGGCCCCCUGGACAAAGACUGACGCUCAGGUGCGAAAGCGUGGGGAGCAAACA